GCGCCGGUGGUGUAUCGGUAACAUUGGGUCUUCCCAUUCAGCUCUGUAGUAUUACGGAACUCGAAUGGCCUAGCACCGGGUUCGACUCCCGGCCGGCGCA
Non-coding RNA from Mycena vulgaris, 100 nucleotides. The record is from the annotation of a GenBank genome assembly. Lineage: Eukaryota; Fungi; Basidiomycota; Agaricomycetes; Agaricales; Mycenaceae.